AUGCAGAUCAGGAUGGAAAUGUGAUCAAAGUCGAAACGAUGUUUCAAAAAGGUGAGGUGGUAAGCAUUUUGGCCGUAAAGGGCGCCUGAAAGAAAUGAAAAAUUA
RNAcentral lists this unclassified non-coding RNA (105 nucleotides) under Klebsiella pneumoniae subsp. pneumoniae BJ1-GA. RNAcentral describes it as "U2". The record is from RNAcentral. Lineage: Bacteria; Pseudomonadati; Pseudomonadota; Gammaproteobacteria; Enterobacterales; Enterobacteriaceae.